AUUGAACGCUGGCGGCAGGCUUAACACAUGCAAGUCGAGCGGAGAUGAGGUGCUUGCACCUUAUCUUAGCGGCGGACGGGUGAGUAAUGCUUAGGAAUCUGCCUAUUAGUGGGGGACAACAUUCCGAAAGGAAUGCUAAUACCGCAUACGUCCUACGGGAGAAAGCAGGGGAUCUUCGGACCUUGCGCUAAUAGAUGAGCCUAAGUCGGAUUAGCUAGUUGGUGGGGUAAAGGCCUACCAAGGCGACGAUCUGUAGCGGGUCUGAGAGGAUGAUCCGCCACACUGGGACUGAGACACGGCCCAGAGUCCUACGGGAGGCAGUAGUGGGGAAUAUUGGACAAUGGGGGGAACCCUGAUCCAGCCAUGCCGCGUGUGUGAAGAAGGCCUUAUGGUUGUAAAGCACUUUAAGCGAGGAGGAGGCUACUGAGACUAAUACUCUUGGAUAGUGGACGUUACUCGCAGAAUAAGCACCGGCUAACUCUGUGCCAGCAGCCGCAGUAA
RNAcentral lists this ribosomal RNA (501 nucleotides) under uncultured bacterium. RNAcentral describes it as "partial 16S ribosomal RNA". It matches the Rfam family "Bacterial small subunit ribosomal RNA", at positions 30 to 523 of the family's 1533-position model. The record is from RNAcentral.